This 253-nucleotide ribosomal RNA is filed under the name uncultured bacterium. RNAcentral describes it as "partial 16S ribosomal RNA". It matches the Rfam family "Bacterial small subunit ribosomal RNA", at positions 524 to 776 of the family's 1533-position model. The record is from RNAcentral.
UACGGGGGGUGCAAGCGCUAUUCGGAAUCAUUGGACGUAAAGGGCGCGUAGGCGGUCUCUUAUGUCAGAUGUGAAAGCCCUCGGCUCAACCGAGGAAGUGCAUUUGAAACUGAGAGACUUGAGUAUGGGAGAGGGAAGCGGAAUUCCUGGUGUAGCGGUGAAAUGCGUAGAUAUCAGGAGGAACACCGGUGGCGAAGGCGGCUUCCUGGACCAAUACUGACGCUGAGGCGCGAAGGCGUGGGGAGCAAACAGG